ACGAUGUACACAUUUUUGAGUGCCUAU
This 27-nucleotide ribosomal RNA is filed under the name Aedes aegypti (yellow fever mosquito). Its description in RNAcentral is "partial 5.8S ribosomal RNA". Lineage: Eukaryota; Metazoa; Arthropoda; Insecta; Diptera; Culicidae. The record is from RNAcentral.